GGGGAAGUAGCUCAAAUGUUAGAGUGCUUGCUUAGCAUGCGAGAGGUAGUGGGGUCGAUGCCCACAUUCUCCA
Salmo salar (Atlantic salmon) is the source of this 73-nucleotide non-coding RNA. Lineage: Eukaryota; Metazoa; Chordata; Actinopteri; Salmoniformes; Salmonidae. The record is from Rfam.